Molecule: ribosomal RNA, 1120 nt
Filed under: Aspergillus flavipes
Lineage: Eukaryota; Fungi; Ascomycota; Eurotiomycetes; Eurotiales; Aspergillaceae
Description: SSU rRNA
Rfam family: Eukaryotic small subunit ribosomal RNA
Source: RNAcentral
UGUCUCAAAGAUUAAGCCAUGCAUGUCUAAGUAUAAGCACUUUAUACCGUGAAACUGCGAAUGGCUCAUUAAAUCAGUUAUCGUUUAUUUGAUAGUACCUUACUACAUGGAUACCUGUGGUAAUUCUAGAGCUAAUACAUGCUAAAAACCCCGACUUCGGAAGGGGUGUAUUUAUUAGAUAAAAAACCAAUGCCCUUCGGGGCUCCUUGGUGAUUCAUAAUAACUUAACGAAUCGCAUGGCCUUGCGCCGGCGAUGGUUCAUUCAAAUUUCUGCCCUAUCAACUUUCGAUGGUAGGAUAGUGGCCUACCAUGGUGGCAACGGGUAACGGGGAAUUAGGGUUCGAUUCCGGAGAGGGAGCCUGAGAAACGGCUACCACAUCCAAGGAAGGCAGCAGGCGCGCAAAUUACCCAAUCCCGACACGGGGAGGUAGUGACAAUAAAUACUGAUACGGGGCUCUUUUGGGUCUCGUAAUUGGAAUGAGUACAAUUUAAAUCCCUUAACGAGGAACAAUUGGAGGGCAAGUCUGGUGCCAGCAGCCGCGGUAAUUCCAGCUCCAAUAGCGUAUAUUAAAGUUGUUGCAGUUAAAAAGCUCGUAGUUGAACCUUGGGUCUGGCUGGCCGGUCCGCCUCACCGCGAGUACUGGUCCGGCUGGACCUUUCCUUCUGGGGAAUCCCAUGGCCUUCACUGGCUGUGGGGGGAACCAGGACUUUUACUGUGAAAAAAUUAGAGUGUUCAAAGCAGGCCUUUGCUCGAAUACAUUAGCAUGGAAUAAUAGAAUAGGACGUGCGGUUCUAUUUUGUUGGUUUCUAGGACCGCCGUAAUGAUUAAUAGGGAUAGUCGGGGGCGUCAGUAUUCAGCUGUCAGAGGUGAAAUUCUUGGAUUUGCUGAAGACUAACUACUGCGAAAGCAUUCGCCAAGGAUGUUUUCAUUAAUCAGGGAACGAAAGUUAGGGGAUCGAAGACGAUCAGAUACCGUCGUAGUCUUAACCAUAAACUAUGCCGACUAGGGAUCGGGCGGUGUUUUUAUGAUGACCCGCUCGGCACCUUACGAGAAAUCAAAGUUUUUGGGUUCUGGGGGGAGUAUGGUCGCAAGGCUGAAACUUAAAGGAAUUGACGGAAG